This is a long non-coding RNA of Amphiprion ocellaris (clown anemonefish), 460 nucleotides long. Lineage: Eukaryota; Metazoa; Chordata; Actinopteri; Pomacentridae. The record is from Ensembl.
UUUCAAUGAGGCGGUCAAAUCUCAAUCAAGCGGGACGAGACAUACUGCUGCAUAGUGUCACGGCUUUGAUUUCUGAAGACAGAAACCUAGCUAUGCAUUGGAAGUAGUACAGAUGUUACUGCAAAGCAAACAGCUGUCCUCCGUGGCCUUCCUGUCAUCCUUGGAGAUGAGAACACAGACUUCUUCAAGACAUGCUUUGACUGCGAUGACACAGGCAUGUCUCACAUCCCCAUUGGAAUCCUGACCAUUGUUCCUGAGGACGAACAGCUCUCCCUUGACUCACUGCACCUUCAGACUUCAGAUGAAGCUCUCAGUGUCGUUGCUGCUGGUCCUGCCGGCUCUAUGUUCCACCAGCCUUCCUGAUGUUAUGAGCAGCACAGGGGAAACGCACGGUCAAAGUCAGACUGAGUGAAGGUGCUCAGUGUGUUUUAUGAUGGAGCCAUAAAGCAGCUAUAUAAAC